UCCACUUCAUGAGCCUUGACAUCUCAAAGCGCCGAAUCCUAGUAAAUCGGCGCUAGGGUUUUCAUUUUUUUAGUGAAUGACAUAAGGGGCCUACUUGUUAGAAUGAAUAAGGAUAUGGGUAUGCGGGUACGUGGGUAUGGUAUUUCCUUCCCUUACCUGUACCCGACUUCACGAUGGGUAUAUUUAUUUCUCAUUUAUAAACCGAUGGGUAAUUAUUUUUCCAAAGUCCUUAUCCUAAUAGGGUUUUUACCCGUCGGGUUCGCGGGCAAUGGGUACCCAUUGCCAUGUUGAAGCCAUCGGGGCAUACAUCUUCAUUGCUUCUAGUGGGCCUCCCUAAUAGAGGCGAAUGUCUUCUUUGAACCAGAGUCAACUAUAGCGGGACACUCGACCAUUGAGAGGAUGUGCAUGCUUCAAGAAGAAGAAUGAUGGCAGCUGUCCAGAAAAAUUAGAAGUGCAACCAUUCCUCUUCGGAGAUGGACGACGAUGAAGAUGAUGAUGGUGAUGGAGAGGAAAGGGUGCCUAGAAGUCCCACUCCGACGUCUAGCAGGUCAGCCCGACAAGAGUGAGAGAGGAAAUGAGGAGUUAAAGACAGAUGGAGAGGUGGAGGCGAUGAAAGAAAAACAUUGAUGUGUUGCUGAGGAUAAGGAAUGAGUAUAUAGAGAGAGGGAGCAAUAAAAGAUGGAGAUGGAGGAGAAGAACUAAAGAAGAUCCAAGAUAAGAGAGUGAGAUGAGAUGCUAUGCAAGAGAGCAGGCAAACGUCAGGAAGAGAUGGAGGCACGGCUCGAAAUUCAAGUGCGUUGGGCGACAAUUAAACGACUCAGGGGAAUCGUUUCAUCAUGUUGGAUGCGAACUCUACGGAUCCAUAGGCGUGAGAAUUUUGGAAGAAAAUGUGAAUGCCGAUCAUACGGUGUAGGGACCUUAGACGAGGGGACAAUGCACAUGUCGGAGAAGUUGAUGGUGCACAUGCUGACAACAUGUGAUCUGUACAUAUUGCCGGUUAAUGCUUUCAUUUAUGCAACUUUCUAAAACUUAUGUGCAUGUUUUCUUGAUGUGUUAAAUGUUUAAAUUUGAAGGCAAUCGAAGUGUUUGAACGAGAAAAAUAAUAAUUGAUGGCGACUCUGAGUUUACGCGUCGUCCGGCUAGUCUCCAAAUGCAUAUGGAUCACAUAUGCAUUGUUGUGACUACAAAUAAUAUGGCAACUCUGCGAGAAUUUCUCUUUUUUUUUUGACCGGAUGCAAGAGUUGCUCUUAGAAUUGGUACCAUGCAUUAUAUAGUUCGUGGCGAUCUGUUUGGGCCUCCAAACUAUUAUCUUUUGUGGAAUUGGUUGCCAUUUAUUGAUAUACUAUUAUAGACGGGUUGCUUCCUUCUUCGCAAUUGCUUUCGGUGUUUUUCUUGCUGUCACAGAUAUAGAUAAUGACUUGGCUUCUUAUUACUGUAUUUGAACUAAACAAAUUAAUUAUGUGUACAAUAUCCGUGUCCUUCAGCCAUUUUUAAAGGGGAAUUUUGCUUCCAACUUUAAGAUGAACUCAACUAUGAAGCAUCAUGCAUUCUGUUAGGAUGCACUAAUAAUCGUCGUAAGCCAUGGAACUGUCUUAUACCAACUCAAUAUCGAUUAAUUGUAUGUUCCUAAAAUUUCUACCCUUGAGCAAAGAACCAAGAGCGAAAGCAACGAAUAUGAUCAACAUGAUAUUAUGAAAUAAUAUGGUGGUUCUGACUAAUCCAUUGUUCACUUGACAUACUCAGAUAUGCAACAUGCACUCCAUUUUAUUUUUGGUUAGUGAGAACGCUAGUACGCCACUUCCGAAAGAAGCUAAUGUAACCGCCUGGAAGAAGAAGAUAAUGAAUCUGCUCGACAAGGAAGCACGCAAUCUCCAAAACAGAAGCCACUCACCGUGAUUCAGGCUCUCCUUUCCUUGUAAUCUCCAGAAUAGAUGGGUUGCUUCCCUUGUUGUAAUUGCUUUUAGUGUUUUUGGUCACUAUAUUCGUACAUUGCAACGGGACAUAAAUAUACUGGCAUUGCAACAGGAUAAAAAUAUUCUAUUAUGUUAGCUUUUGAUUUAUCAGUCCAUAUUAAUGUGAUUGUGUAAAUAUUUCUUUUGCCAAAUCCUGUUCGUGAUUUACCUUAUAGUUUGAUGAGAAAUUCAAUAAGUAAAUUAAAGUAAAAUUGAAUAAAAGUGAACUUGGUUCAGAAAGUAAGUAAAUUAAAGUGAUUGAUUAUCGUAGAUGGAAAUUCAGUAAGUAAAUUAAAAUGAACUUGGACGAAUGGAUGGUAAGAAAAAAAAAGUGAAAGAUGAAACUUUACAUUCUUUUUAAGCAGUAGAGAUAGAUAUAGACCAAUGAAUUGUUCUCUUAGCUUUGAGCUGUAUUUGAACAAGACAAAUUAAUUAUGUGUACAAGUUCAGUGUCGUUCAGCCAUGUUCAAAGGGAAUUUUAUAUCCAACUUUAAGAUGAAUUCAUCUAUGAAGCAUCAUGCUGUUACAAUUAUAAUGUGAUCAAAUGGUCAAAAUGUUAAUUACCACAAGUUAAAUGGGCCCAUUAAUCAAUUUCGGGAUUAAUACCAAUUAAAUUGUAAUUAACAAAUCGGGCCCGUGAUUGGGGGGCUGAAUUAACGCUAAUAUGGUUAAGGUCCCACGGUCAAAGUCAACCCAUUAUAUAAGGAGCAGACUUGCACAUACGCAUCAGUCCAUCGCAUUAGCCAUCGUCUAUUCCGAAAAUCAUUCCUUUUUCCAAUCAGGAGAGCACGGUUCAUUGAUGUGAAGACUUUCCAUUACUCCGGCGAGGUGCCGGAGACGUUGUUGUUCUUCGUCCUCUCUAGACCCGAGAUGGCAUCACCAAACAGAGCUUUGAACCCAUCAGUUAUUUCUGGGCUCCUGAACUCAAUUGAGCACCUCAAUGGGACUAACUUUCCUACCUGGAAGGAGCAGAUUUUGAUUAACCUUGGUGUCAUGGACCUUGAUUAUGCACUUAGGGAAAAAGCUCCAGUUCCUUUGUCCUUUGAUGAUGAAAACCUUGCUGAGAGAACUAAGAUUUAUGAGGCUAAUAAGGAGAAGUGGGAGCGCUCCAAUCGCUUGUCUAUCAUGAUCAUGAAAAGCACAAUUACUCUUGGGAUCAGGGGAGCAAUCCCUGAUUCUGAAUGUGCUAAGACUUAUCUAGCGUCGGUGGAGGAGCAAUUUAAAGGCUCAACAAAAGUCUACGCUAGUACGUUGAUCAUGAAAAUGCUCACCACUAAGUAUGAUGGUAAAAAGCGGCGUGAGAGAACAUAUCAUGACUAUGAAUGAUAUGGCCGCAAAAUUAAAGGGCAUGGACAUGGAGAUUUCUGAGGGCUUUCUGGUUCACUUCAUUAUGACUUCUCUCCCUAUGGAGUAUGGUCCCUUCAAGAUUAAUUAUAAUACUCAGAAGGAGAAGUGGACCAUGAGUGAGCUCACAUCUAUGUGCGUUCAAGAAGAAGAGCGGCUUAAGGUUGAAAGGAUAGAUUAUGCUCAUCUUACUUCCAUAAACUUAGGGAAAAGAAAGUCUCAGGGUGACGGGAAAACUAAGAAGAAGAUGAACUUCUCUAAUAUUGAUGCAAGCAAGCUAGGGAACUCUGGCACCAAGGACAUCGCUACAGAGCCUAAGGGUCCUAAGUGUCGUUUCUGCAAGGAAGAUGGGCAUGUCAUGAAAGAAUGUGAUGGCUUUAAGGCAUGGUUGCUAAGGGGAUUCCAUUUCGUGAGGACACUGAAAAAGAUGGAUCAAAGCCUUAGAUUUCCAAGUGGCAAGGAGACUGAUGAACAAGGAUUAGUAUUUCUCCUUAAGUAUUGGUGAUUGUUCAUCCUCCGUCUUAAUAAUACUCUUAUGUUCCUAGCAUGAGGGACCUUAUUUUGUUUCUCUAUGAUAUGAUGGAUUUGUUAUUUUGCGAACAAAUAUUGUGUUAUUAAGAGUUGUCAUGAUGGUUCUGGUUGUGUUAUCUCUUGUGAAUCCUUGAUGCAUAUUAUGAGUGCUCAUCGAAAUGAUGACACUAUUAUUUAAGCCAUAUUUCG
Non-coding RNA from Triticum urartu, 4016 nucleotides. Lineage: Eukaryota; Viridiplantae; Streptophyta; Magnoliopsida; Poales; Poaceae. The record is from RefSeq and is a predicted model, not a curated record.